Molecule: small nucleolar RNA, 128 nt
Organism: Dendrobium catenatum
Lineage: Eukaryota; Viridiplantae; Streptophyta; Magnoliopsida; Asparagales; Orchidaceae
Product: small nucleolar RNA snoR74
Exons: 1
Source: RefSeq, a predicted model, not a curated record
AGAAAAGCAGAGCCUGUUAUCAUUUUAAACUGGCCUUCGUAAACUUUAGGGAAACUGAAGUCAUUGUUAUUGGGUGAACCAUUUUGAAUAAUCAAUAGAAAAAUGGUUCAGUUAACAUUGAUACAUGA